GAUCAUGGCUCAGGAUGAACGCUGGCGGCGUGCUUAACACAUGCAAGUCGAGCGAGAAGUUUUGAAAAGAUUCUUCGGAUGAAAUUUAAAAUGGAAAGCGGCGGACGGGUGAGUAACGCGUAGGCAACCUGCCCCAUACAAAGGGAUAGCAUUUGGAAACGAAUAUUAAUACCUUAUGAAACUUAACUAGUGCAUGCUAGGUAGGUCAAAGAUUUAUCGGUAUGGGAUGGGCCUGCGUCUGAUUAG
This 246-nucleotide ribosomal RNA is filed under the name uncultured bacterium. RNAcentral describes it as "partial 16S ribosomal RNA". It matches the Rfam family "Bacterial small subunit ribosomal RNA", at positions 15 to 244 of the family's 1533-position model. The record is from RNAcentral.